AUCAGAGAGGUGCGAAUUACCAAUUGUUCAAAUCUAAGGCGUGUUGUGGAGUUGGGUGGUCUGGAGCAGCUAUGGCUAGACGAGGAUAUGAAGGACCUCUCUUCGCUGUGGGUGCCCAAGCUUCAACGGCAACGCCAACAACUCCAUGGUGAAGACCUGGAGGUGUACACAUGGCCUAGAGAGUGAGAGGCAUCAGGUUGGGUGGGCCGCAGGAGCUUCAAGGGGAAGGAUGAGGACGGCUAGCUGAGACAUCAUGGUUUCUCUGUUUUUGGGUUUCUUCAUAUAUAUGCGUGUCGGAAUGAAUAGUACUAGUAUGAUACUACAUGUAGUAUGCUCCUACUGGCUACUGGAAGGUUGCUUUGUUAAGUUCUCUAUUACUUGUGUUGUUUACAAAACAAGCUAUGCUAUGCUUGUAUCCCACAGGGUGCAUGACCUGGACUGCUAUGUCGAGCUAUAGCGGCGCACCGUCUAAGAGAAUUGUUUCGUGGUGUUCGCAUGGCGUGCAUGCUUUCUGGUGGAAGGAGAUGGAGAGAUUAAUCAAGAACCACAAAUGCUUCCUUCUGUUCUGCAUUGUGUGCACAUGCGUGUCGGAAUAAAUGGAAGCAGUAGAUGUACAGUAUUUGUAGCGUGCCUAAAUAAAAAAGUAAGCAGGUGUGUAUGAAUUUUUAUUACUGUGAAGAACUAUGGCUGCUGUUUGUUA
This is a long non-coding RNA of Panicum virgatum (switchgrass), 700 nucleotides long. RefSeq lists it as uncharacterized. NCBI's taxonomy places the organism in Eukaryota, Viridiplantae, Streptophyta, Magnoliopsida, Poales, Poaceae. The record is from RefSeq and is a predicted model, not a curated record. The transcript has 2 exons.